UAUGUGUGUGUAUGUGUGG
RNAcentral lists this unclassified non-coding RNA (19 nucleotides) under Chlamydomonas reinhardtii. RNAcentral describes it as "small RNA Cre_2410". Lineage: Eukaryota; Viridiplantae; Chlorophyta; Chlorophyceae; Chlamydomonadales; Chlamydomonadaceae. The record is from RNAcentral.